GCUCAGAUUGAACGCUGGCGGCAGGCUAACACAUGCAAGUCAGCGGAUACGGGAGCUUCCUUAUUCAGCGACAUUCAGCGGCGGACGGGUGAGUAAUGCCUAGGAAUCUGCCUGGUAGUGGGGGACAACGUUUCGAAAGGAACGCUAAUACCGCAUACUCUACGGGAGAAAGCAGGGGACCUUCGGGUCCUGUCGCUAUCAGAUGAGCCUAGGUCGGAUUAGCUAGUUGGUGGGGUAAUGGCUCACCAAGGCGACGAUCCGUAACUGGUCUGAGAGGAUGAUCAGUCACACUGGACUGAGCACAUGUCCAGCAUCCUACGGGAGCAGCAGUGGGGAAUAUUGGACAAUCUCGCUGCAUGCUCGAGCGGCCGCCAGUGUGAUGGAUAUCUGCAGAAUUCGCCCUUGCUCAGAUUGAACGCUGGCGGCAGGCCUUAACACAUGCAAGUCGAGCGGAUGACGGGAGCUUGCCUCUGAUUCAGCGGCGGACGGGUGAGUAAUGCCUAGGAAUCUGCCUGGUAGCGGGGGACAACACGUUUCGAAAGGAACGCUAAUAGCCGCAUAGCUCUACGGAGAAAGCGGGGACUUGGAUGUGAAAGCCCCGGCGUCAACCAUGGGAACUGCAUCCAAAACUGGCAGCUAGAGUACGUAGAGGGUGGUGGAUUUCCUGUGUGACUGUGAAAUGCUUAGAUUGAGGAAGGAACACCAGUGGCGAAGGCGACCACCUGGACUGAUACUGACACUCAGGUGCGAAAGCUGUGGGGAGCAAACAGAUUAGAUACCCUGGUAGUCCACGCCGUAAACGAUGUCAACUAGCGUUGGAAUCCUUGAGAUUUUAGUGGCAGCCAUGAACGCAUUAAGUUGACCGCCUGGGGAGUACAACCGCAAGGUUAAAACUCAAAUGAAUUGACGGGGCGCACAAGCGGUGGAGCAUGUGGUUUAAUUCGAAGCAACGCGAAGAACUUACCAGGCCUUGACAUGCAGAGAACUUUCCAGAGAUGGAUUGGUGCUUCGGGAACUCUGACACAGGUGCUGCUUGGCUGUCGUCUGCUCGUGUUGUGAAAUG
This 1063-nucleotide ribosomal RNA is filed under the name Pseudomonas sp. Its description in RNAcentral is "bacterial SSU rRNA". It matches the Rfam family "Bacterial small subunit ribosomal RNA", at positions 22 to 1074 of the family's 1533-position model. Lineage: Bacteria; Pseudomonadati; Pseudomonadota; Gammaproteobacteria; Pseudomonadales; Pseudomonadaceae. The record is from RNAcentral.